GUGGCUGCUCAAAGGUGAUUGGCACUUCUCCAUUGAUCCACAGGACAGUAAUAGCUGAUGCAACAGUGAUGCCAGCAUGCCUCAACCCUGCCCUGGAGGGAUCUCCUUUAAAAAUGAGAGGGGAGUUCACUCCCUCUAGCACUUUCACCUCUGAUCUCUC
Chelonoidis abingdonii (Abingdon island giant tortoise) is the source of this 160-nucleotide unclassified non-coding RNA. The record is from Ensembl. NCBI's taxonomy places the organism in Eukaryota, Metazoa, Chordata, Testudines, Testudinidae.